This is a long non-coding RNA of Gigantopelta aegis, 649 nucleotides long. RefSeq lists it as uncharacterized. Lineage: Eukaryota; Metazoa; Mollusca; Gastropoda; Neomphalida; Peltospiridae. The transcript is spliced from 2 exons. The record is from RefSeq and is a predicted model, not a curated record.
GUAAUUUUACGUUGUAUAAUAUAUGAACAGUACGUUGAUUAAAAUAAAAACUGAUAGCCGCAAAACAUCAUAUUAUAUAUUUUAUUUGUAUUUUACUUUUGUAAAUUUGAUUCUCAUUUAUUUUUACACGUUAUAUUCAUAUCGAGUACAAUAAAAGUAGUAUGUCUAUGGAAAAGAUAUAAAAAAGAGUGGCCAGCUGUUGCCAAAAGUUAACCGCAAAAUAAUACUGUAAAAUAUUCAGAAGCUUAUUAAAUACAAUGUAGUAACAUCAGCACGAUCGUAUCAUAAGCAGUGAUUUUGGCCAUACAAUAGCAAAUUUUAUUUUACCUGGGGUAUUUUCGGAAUCAGCACUACUUUUUACCUUUACAUAAAGAAUAUUUCGAACUAGUCAUCUACACCUUAGACUUUGUGUAUAAUUAAGUGCCUUCGUGUGAUAUCCACUAGAUAUACUAUGCAAGAGUAAUGUUUAAUUGAGUUAUCUUCAUUUUCUGCAGCCUCCGUCGAAGAAAAACCCAGUGACUAGUAAACCAGACUGUCCAGUGACUACACUGCCAUCCAUGUCUAGAAUGUUCAGCAAACAGAUUGCAUACAGAGUACCAGAUUAUAGCCAACUGUGUAUCACUCGUCUUUAAAUAAAGUGUUCUACGCA